GCUGGGCGCAGUGGCGCAUGCCUGUAGUCCCAGCUACUCAGGAGGUUGAGGUGGAAGGAUCGCUUGAGCCCAGGAGUUCUGGGCUGUAGUGCGCUAUGCCAGUUGGGUGUCUGCACUAAGUUUGGCAUCAAUAUGGUGACCUCCCAGGAGUGGGGGACCACCGGGUUGCCUAAGAAGGGGUGAACCGGCCCAGGUCAGAAAUGGAGCAGGUCAAAACUCCCGUGCUGAUCAGUAGUGGGAUGGGGCCUGUGAAUAGCCACUGUACUCUAGCCUGGGCAACAUAGCGAGACCCCGUCUCUA
Unclassified non-coding RNA from Callithrix jacchus (white-tufted-ear marmoset), 300 nucleotides. It matches the Rfam family "Metazoan signal recognition particle RNA". From Rfam's summary of the family: The signal recognition particle (SRP) is a universally conserved ribonucleoprotein. NCBI's taxonomy places the organism in Eukaryota, Metazoa, Chordata, Mammalia, Primates, Cebidae. The record is from Ensembl.